Molecule: ribosomal RNA, 434 nt
Filed under: uncultured Roseburia sp.
Lineage: Bacteria; Bacillati; Bacillota; Clostridia; Lachnospirales; Lachnospiraceae
Description: partial 16S ribosomal RNA
Rfam family: Bacterial small subunit ribosomal RNA
Source: RNAcentral
ACGGGAGGCAGCAGUGGGGAAUAUUGGACAAUGGGCGAAAGCCUGAUCUAGCGACGCCGCGUGAGUGAAGAAGUAUUUCGGUAUGUAAAGCUCUAUCAGCAGGGAAGAUAAUGACGGUACCUGACUAAGAAGCACCGGCUAAAUACGUGCCAGCAGCCGCGGUAAUACGUAUGGUGCAAGCGUUAUCCGGAUUUACUGGGUGUAAAGGGAGCGCAGGCGGUACGGCAAGUCUGAUGUGAAAGCCCGGGGCUCAACCCCGGUACUGCAUUGGAAACUGUCGAACUAGAGUGUCGGAGGGGUAAGCGGAAUUCCUAGUGUAGCGGUGAAAUGCGUAGAUAUUAGGAGGAACACCAGUGGCGAAGGCGGCUCACUGGACGAUAACUGACGCUGAGGCUCGAAAGCGUGGGGAGCAAACAGGAUUAGAUACCCUGGUA